RNAcentral lists this ribosomal RNA (1422 nucleotides) under metagenome. RNAcentral describes it as "bacterial SSU rRNA". It matches the Rfam family "Bacterial small subunit ribosomal RNA". The record is from RNAcentral.
AGAGUUUGAUCCUGGCUCAGAACGAACGCUGGCGGCAGGCCUAACACAUGCAAGUCGAGCGAGGACUUCGGUUCUAGCGGCGGACGGGUUAGUAACGCGUGGGAACGUACCCUUUUCUACGGAAUAGCCUCGGGAAACUGAGAGUAAUACCGUAUACGCCCUUUGGGGGAAAGAUUUAUCGGAGAAGGAUCGGCCCGCGUUAGAUUAGAUAGUUGGUGGGGUAAUGGCCUACCAAGUCUACGAUCUAUAACUGGUUUGAGAGGAUGAUCAGCAACACUGGGACUGAGACACGGCCCAGACUCCUACGGGAGGCAGCAGUGGGGAAUCUUAGACAAUGGGCGCAAGCCUGAUCUAGCCAUGCCGCGUGAGUGAAGAAGGCCUUAGGGUCGUAAAGCUCUUUCGCCUGUGAAGAUAAUGACUGUAGCAGGUAAAGAAACCCCGGCUAACUCCGUGCCAGCAGCCGCGGUAAUACGGAGGGGGUUAGCGUUGUUCGGAAUUACUGGGCGUAAAGCGCGCGUAGGCGGACAUUUAAGUCAGAGGUGAAAUCCCAGGGCUCAACCCUGGAACUGCCUUUGAUACUGGGUGUCUUGAGUUCGAGAGAGGUGAGUGGAAUUCCGAGUGUAGAGGUGAAAUUCGUAGAUAUUCGGAGGAACACCAGUGGCGAAGGCGGCUCACUGGCUCGAUACUGACGCCGAGGUGCGAAAGUGUGGGGAGCAAACAGGAUUAGAUACCCUGGUAGUCCACACCGUAAACGAUGAAUGCCAGUCGUCGGGCAGUAUACUGUUCGGUGACACACCGAACGGAUUAAGCAUUCCGCCUGGGGAGUACGGUCGCAAGAUUAAAACACAAAGGAAUUGACGGGGGCCCGCACAAGCGGUGGAGCAUGUGGUUUAAUUCGAAGCAACGCGCAGAACCUUACCAACCCUUGACAUCCUUGGACCGCCAGAGAGAUCUGGUUUUCUCGUAAGAGACCAAGUGACAGGUGCUGCAUGGCUGUCGCCAGCUCGUGUCGUGAGAUGUUCGGUUAAGUCCGGCAACGAGCGCAACCCACAUCUUCAGUUGCCAGCAGUUCGGCUGGGCACUCUGGAGAAACUGCCCGUGAUAAGCGGGAGGAAGGUGUGGAUGGCGUCAAGUCCUCAUGGCCCUUACGGGUUGGGCUACACACGUGCUACAAUGGUAGUGACAAUGGGUUAAUCCCAAAAAGCUAUCUCAGUUCGGAUUGGGGUCUGCAACUCGACCCCAUGAAGUCGGAAUCGCUAGUAAUCGCGUAACAGCAUGACGCGGUGAAUACGUUCCCGGGCCUUGUACACACCGCCCGUCACACCAUGGGAGUUGGGUUUACCCGAAGGUCGUGCGCCAACCUUUCGAGGGGGCAGCGGACCACGGUGAGCUCAGCGACUGGGGUGAAGUCGUAACGAGGUA